RNAcentral lists this RNase P RNA (382 nucleotides) under Bacteroidales bacterium. RNAcentral describes it as "RNase P RNA component class A". It matches the Rfam family "Bacterial RNase P class A". From Rfam's summary of the family: Ribonuclease P (RNase P) is a ubiquitous endoribonuclease, found in archaea, bacteria and eukarya as well as chloroplasts and mitochondria. Its best characterised activity is the generation of mature 5'-ends of tRNAs by cleaving the 5'-leader elements of precursor-tRNAs. Cellular RNase Ps are ribonucleoproteins. The record is from RNAcentral. Lineage: Bacteria; Pseudomonadati; Bacteroidota; Bacteroidia; Bacteroidales.
GCAGCAGGCUGUUCCAUCGUGGCGUUUAAUACGCUAAGGAAAGUCCGGGCAACACAGAGCACCAUGCUUCCUAACGGGAAGAUAUCCGCGAGGGUAUAGCAGCGUAACAGAAAAUAACCGUCGCCUGUGGGAAACCUUGGGCGAUAAGGGUGAAAAGGCGAGGUAAGAGCUCACCGGUUUUGAUGGCGACAUUCGGAACCGUACGCCUUAUGGGUUGAAAGACCAUGUACACCGGCUUUUAAGGAUUGCUCGUCCAAUGCCGGGGGGUAGGUCGUUAGAGCCUUGCAGCAAUGCAGGGUCGAGAUAAAUGAUGGAAACCGUUUUAUUUUCUUUUGCAGAAAUCAAAAUGGCACAGAAUCCGGCUUACAGGCCCGCUGUUUAC